AUGCGGAAAAGCCUCCGGGGUUCCGGUGCCAAUCGCAGUGUUCCGGUGCCAUCCGCGGUGUUCCGGUGCCAUCUGCGGUGUUCCGGUGCCAUCUGCGGUGUUCCGGUGCCAUCCGUGGUGUUCCGGUGCCAUCCGCGGUGUUCCGGUGCCAUCUGCAGUGUUCCGGUGCCAUCCGCGGGGUUCCGGUGCCAUCCACGGGGUUCCGGUGCCAUCCGUGGUGUUCCGGUGCCAAUUGCGGGGUUCCGGUGCCAUCCGCAGGGCUCCGGUGCCAUCCGCAGGGCUCCGGUGCCAUCCGCGGGGUUCCGGUGCCAUCCGCGGGGCUCCGGUGCCAUCCGCGGUGUUCCGGUGCCAUCCGCGGUGUUCCGGUGCCAUCCGCGGGGCUCCGGUGCCAUCCGCAGGGCUCCGGUGCCAUCCGCGGUGUUCCGGUGCCAUCCGCGGGGUUCCGGUGCCAUCCGCAGGGUUCCGGUGCCAUCCGCGGUGUUCCGGUGCCAAUCGCGGGGUUCCGGUGCCAUCCGCAGGGCUCCGGUGCCAAUUGCGGGGUUCCGUCCCUGCAGUGACCCCGCUCAGAUCCCAUCGGAUCCCCCCGAUCCCGGUCCGCAGCCGAGCAGCGCUCGGGGCUCAAACCUCCCCCCGUUUUCCCCUGAGCCCCUUCCUUUGAGGGUUGAACCCCGCUCCGGAGGCCGCAGCUGCUCCCAGUCCUGGUUCCUCCCUUCCCAGCGGGAAUGCCGCGAGCGCAGCCCCUCGGAGGGCGGGAGGGAGGAGCCCUCCUUUGAUGGAACUGGGGAGAUGUUGGCUUGGGACGUGAACCCGCUGCUUCCCCCCUCGCUGGGACGUUCCCCGGAGCCUCCGGGCACUUCCCUCGGGGUUUGGGUGCCGGGAAGGCUGGGACAGGGAGAAUCCCACUGUGCCGAAGGGUUGGAACGCUGGGAUCUCAGCACGGAGGAGCAUUCCCGGCAGCCCGAACCACAACCCGGGGGCGGCUGCUGGGAGUUCCGUGGAAUUUACCCCUCACCCUUCCCAAGGUGCCCGAGCAUGGAUUCCCGGCACUGGGGAGUCCAAAUCCCAAUUUUCCACGUCCCCACCUUGGAUCGGGCCCGUCUCAUCCUUUGCUUUUCCAGCCUUGGGCCGUUUUUCCGGGAGGACCCGACUGCCUGGUCAGACGUGUUUGCUCCGGCGGCCGUGUCCGGCUGUUUGGGCUCCGCGUUCCAGAGUCGGAGGGUUCCUCCCUCCUGCCAGGACCUGUGGUGGAUGUGGGAGCACCCGGAGCAGCCUCUUCCCAGAUCUCCCCCAGAGAGGACGGGGCAGGGCCUGGACUCGGAGCCGGGCAGCUGCGGGGAAUUCCAGCUGGGAUUUUGGCUGUGCAAAUCCGUCAUCAGUGCGGGAUCCCGGCUCCCCUCGUCCCCGGACAAGCCGGGCCGGUGCAUCGCUGACCCUGUCCGAGAUUCCAGCCUCUCCUGGCUGUUAUCCCCUCUCGAAUCCCUGUUUUUCGCGGCGGGGAGGGAAGCAGAGAGCAGCGCUCUCCGCAGGGCUCCGGGGACAAUUCCCUGGAUGCGAGGGCGGAGGAGGCACAUCCAGGAGCCCCCGCGCCGUGUUUGCCGGCGAGGAGUGGCCUCGGUGCCGCGAUUCCCAACGCUCCCGAUGCUGCCCGGACGCGGCCGCGGCUGGGCCGGGGAUGGCGGCGCUGCCGAUCCCGUCCCGGCCGAUCCCGUCCCCAGCGGGAACGGCGGGAUGAGGCGGGGUGAGUCAAUGCCGGAGCUUUUCCUCACCUGCCGAGCUUCGGGAGCAGCCGGGAUGGGAGCGGGAGGGGAGGGAUCCCACGGGGACGGGGCUGUGCGGGAGCCGCGUGGUUCCUCCGGAGGAUUUGUUGCCUUGGGAUCACAAAAAGCCGGGAUAGUUCCGUUCAGGAGAGGGGCAGGCCGGGCUUCCCAUUGCCCCGAGGCUGCGGGAAGGAAAUUGGGUCGUUUUCAGGUUGUUUGGAUACUUUUUCCCCCGGCUCCUGCAGAUCCCUGGCAAAGCCCUCGGGCGAGAGCCGCCCGCAGCCGUGGGCUUCGUGCUGCUCCUCGCCUGCUCCCGGUGUCCCCGCACCCGAGCCCGCGCUCUUUGCGGGAUGUGAGGCCGGCACCGGGGACAUCCGACCCCUCCCUUCCUUCUCCCGGCUGCCGGCGCAGCUUUUGUUUUACUGAACUCAUCCCCCAAUUCCUCCACUCCCAGCCGAUCCCUUGGAGCGGCACCGGCUGCGGCCCGGGAGCCGGAGAGAUGGAUCCCCCUUCCACCGGGAUCCCCCAAAGCAGGGAAUGUUGUAACGCGUUGCUUUUAUCCCUUCCGGAGGAGCUCUGGGGUCGGGCAGGGAGCAGCAGGAAUGCGGCCGGGGCGGUUUUUCCAGUGUAAAUCCUUCAGCCGGUCUCGCUGCCCUCCCGGAAACCCAACCAGGAAACAUCCACGCGUUCCCGGGCUGGGAGCGAGCUCCCGGCUCCGUGUUCGUGCCACGUGUUGCGUCCCCGCCGCUGCUCUGGGAUCCCGGCGCCGGGAGCCGUAAUCCAGCGCGGAUUUAGGGAGCGGGCAGGUUCAGCCUCGGGACAGGCGGUGGCUGAAAUCCCCCUUGAGGGGAUCCCGGGCAUGAUCCCUGAUCCCGCUCUCCCAGGCUGGGCAUCGGAGGUGCCGGGCAUGGUUAAAACUGGGAAGUGCCAAUUUUUUUGUCCGCCAGGAGCAAACAAGGAGCAAACGAGCUGGAAAAGUGGCCGGGCGAGCUCGCUUGGCUCCGGCCCAGCCCUGCUCCCUUCCCGUGCCCGCUGAGCCGCUGGGCUAACGCCAGGAUCGCUCCGGCGUCCUUCCCGUGACCGUCACAUGCCCGGGAGGGUGACAGGGCAGUGCCGGCGAUCCCGGCUGCACCGGGCAGGAGCCGCCCCCUCCUCGUGGCACCGAGCGAGCGGCGAUGGCCUCGCCGGGAGCCCGUGGCCGGGGCUGAGCAGGACAAGCGGCCCCUCCGCUGACGGCCUUGCCGUGUUUUCUGUGGCUUUGCAGACAGCAGCCGGCUCCUGGGGGCCCCGCGCCCGGGCUACGGGACGCUGCAGC
Molecule: long non-coding RNA, 3072 nt
Organism: Corvus moneduloides (New Caledonian crow)
Lineage: Eukaryota; Metazoa; Chordata; Aves; Passeriformes; Corvidae
Source: Ensembl